GGAAGAUCGGUGUUGGGCGAACUGUUCGUGAACCCGGUCAGGUCCGGAAGGAAGCAGCCGUAACGAGUUCUGUUUCGGGUCAAUACUCGGUCUUCCAAC
RNAcentral lists this signal recognition particle RNA (99 nucleotides) under Magnetovibrio sp. Its description in RNAcentral is "signal recognition particle sRNA small type". It matches the Rfam family "Bacterial small signal recognition particle RNA". Rfam says of the family: The signal recognition particle (SRP) is a universally conserved ribonucleoprotein involved in the co-translational targeting of proteins to membranes. Archaeal SRP consists of a 7S RNA and homologues of the eukaryotic SRP19 and SRP54 proteins. Lineage: Bacteria; Pseudomonadati; Pseudomonadota; Alphaproteobacteria; Rhodospirillales; Magnetovibrionaceae. The record is from RNAcentral.